RNAcentral lists this transfer RNA (81 nucleotides) under Ophiocordyceps sinensis CO18. RNAcentral's name for it is "tRNA-Leu (TAG) (tRNA-Leu-TAG-1-1)". It matches the Rfam family "tRNA". Rfam says of the family: Transfer RNA (tRNA) molecules are approximately 80 nucleotides in length. Their secondary structure includes four short double-helical elements and three loops (D, anti-codon, and T loops). Further hydrogen bonds mediate the characteristic L-shaped molecular structure. tRNAs have two regions of fundamental functional importance: the anti-codon, which is responsible for specific mRNA codon recognition, and the 3' end, to which the tRNAs corresponding amino acid is attached (by aminoacyl-tRNA synthetases). tRNAs cope with the degeneracy of the genetic code in two manners: having more than one tRNA (with a specific anti-codon) for a particular amino acid; and 'wobble' base-pairing, i.e. permitting non-standard base-pairing at the 3rd anti-codon position. The record is from RNAcentral. Lineage: Eukaryota; Fungi; Ascomycota; Sordariomycetes; Hypocreales; Ophiocordycipitaceae.
GAGCGUUUGGCCGAGUGGUUAAGGCGUUGUGUUUAGGCCGCAAUGGGUCCGCCCGCGCAGGUUCGAACCCUGCAGCGCUCA